Molecule: transfer RNA, 76 nt
Filed under: Micrococcus lylae
Lineage: Bacteria; Bacillati; Actinomycetota; Actinomycetes; Micrococcales; Micrococcaceae
Description: tRNA-Trp
Rfam family: tRNA
About the family: Transfer RNA (tRNA) molecules are approximately 80 nucleotides in length. Their secondary structure includes four short double-helical elements and three loops (D, anti-codon, and T loops).
Source: RNAcentral
GUCGAUCUAGCGCAACGGGAAGCGCACCGGUCUCCAAAACCGGAGGGUGCAGGUUCGAGUCCUGCGGUCGGCGCAA